GUGGGGAAUCUUAGACAAUGGGGGAAACCCUGAUCUAGCCAUGCCGCGUGAUCGAUGAAGGCCUUAGGGUUGUAAAGCUCUUUCAGCUGGGAAGAUAAUGACGGUACCAGCAGAAGAAGCCCCGGCUAACUCCGUGCCAGCAGCCGCGGUAAUACGGAGGGGGCUAGCGUUGUUCGGAAUUACUGGGCGUAAAGCGCGCGUAGGCGGACCAGAAAGUUGGAGGUGAAAUCCCAGGGCUCAACCUUGGAACUGCCUUCAAAACUCCUGGUCUGGAGUUCGAGAGAGGUGAGUGGAAUUCCGAGUGUAGAGGUGAAAUUCGUAGAUAUUCGGAGGAACACCAGUGGCGAAGGCGGCUCACUGGCUCGAUACUGACGCUGAGGUGCGAAAGCGUGGGGAGCAAACAGGAUUAGAUACCCUUGUAGUCC
Molecule: ribosomal RNA, 425 nt
Filed under: uncultured bacterium
Lineage: Bacteria
Description: partial 16S ribosomal RNA
Rfam family: Bacterial small subunit ribosomal RNA
Source: RNAcentral